This is a non-coding RNA of Monodelphis domestica (gray short-tailed opossum), 807 nucleotides long. The record is from RefSeq and is a predicted model, not a curated record. Lineage: Eukaryota; Metazoa; Chordata; Mammalia; Didelphimorphia; Didelphidae.
UCUGUGCAUGAUAAUGGUUGAACUGUUACUCUGAGCUGGUGAUUGUGGUCCUGGGGAAAGGAAGUCUUAGCCUUUUGGCCAACAGCUUUACCUUGCUGACUACCUGGUUCUAAACAUCAUUAUUCUCACGAGGACUGAAGAAGCCAUAAAACUGAAUUACUCUGUACAACAUCUAGUCAUAUGACGUACCUUCUUGGUCUGAGGAUGAUAGAGCUGGAUUGUGCCUAAUAAUGAAGAGACGAUUUGAGAUGACGUCUGGAGAGCCAUGGGAACCACCAUCUGGUCCUUUGAGAUGAAGAGUGAUGACCUCAUUCCCUGCCACUCCCUUUGAAAAAGAAGUAGAAGAUUCAGAAACCAGGAGCCGGCAGCAGAGGCUGUCUCAGGUGAGAGGUGUGCGACAAGCAGAGAAGGCAGCUACACUGUCAAAUGAGGGCAAAGUUGAGAUUUUUGCCUGACUGUAAGCAAAGCCGGCGCCCUUUGAAACGAUAAACAACCCUUUCCCACCUCCAAUUCAUACUGCCUUCCCUCUCCCCCUUGAAAGAGAUUCUCCCUAUGUAUAACCUUCAUCUACUGAGUCCCUCCCUUCAUCACACAGUAUCAUCAUGCAAUAAUUCUCCAUCAUAAAGCCAAAGGAAAAGUCUUUACUAGUAACCCUUCCCACUAUUCAUACUGUUUUCCCAUGCUUUCCCACAUUCCCCUGCUGGCUCUCUUCUUAGUGACUGUAAGAAAUAAAGGAAAACGGGGCCAUUCUUCUAAGCAUUAUUCUAAUCCACUUCUAAUGGGAGAAAUUGGAGCUGGAGGUCUCAC